UACGUAGGGUGCAAGCGUUAAUCGGAAUUACUGGGCGUAAAGCGUGCGCAGGCGGUGCUGUAAGACAGAUGUGAAAUCCCCGGGCUCAACCUGGGACCUGCAUUUGUGACUGCAUCGCUAGAGUACGGUAGAGGGGGAUGGAAUUCCGCGUGUAGCAGUGAAAUGCGUAGAUAUGCGGAGGAACACCGAUGGCGAAGGCAAUCCCCUGGACCUGUACUGACGCUCAUGCACGAAAGCGUGGGGAGCAAACAGG
Molecule: ribosomal RNA, 253 nt
Filed under: uncultured bacterium
Lineage: Bacteria
Description: partial 16S ribosomal RNA
Rfam family: Bacterial small subunit ribosomal RNA
Source: RNAcentral